Helianthus annuus (common sunflower) is the source of this 1507-nucleotide non-coding RNA. Lineage: Eukaryota; Viridiplantae; Streptophyta; Magnoliopsida; Asterales; Asteraceae. The record is from Rfam.
GUACUGGUUGAUCUGCGUGUUAUGUUGUCUCAAGAUUAGCUGAUGUGUAGUAUGACAAUUAGUGUGAAUGCGAUGGUCAUUAUCAGUUAUGUUUGUUUGAUGGUAUCUUUGUAUCGGUACGUAGUAUUUAGGUAUAGUGCAACAACCGAUUUGGAGGGAUGAUUUUUAGUAAAGGUCGCGGGCUUUGCCGUUGUGCGAUGAUUCUGAUAAUCGGGAUCGCACGGCCUUGUGCGGCGAGAUCAUUCAAUUUUGCCUAUCACUUUCGAUGGUAGGAUGUGGCUAUAUGGUGGUGAGGGUGCGGAGAUUAGGGUUCGAUUCGGAGAGGGGCCUGAGAAACGGUACCAAUCAGGAAGGCAGCAGGCGCAAUUACCAUCUGACGGGAGGUAGUGACAUAAUACAUACGGGUAUCGGUUGGUAAUUGGAUGGUACAUUAAUCCUUACGGGAUCAUUGGGGGCAGUUGGUGCAGCAGCGCCGGUAUUCAGUCAUAGCGUAUAUUUAGUUGUUGCAGUUAAAGUCGUGUUGGACUUUGGGUUGGGUCGGCCGGUCGCAUAGGUGUGCACGGUUUACUCGUCCUUUGUCGGCGAUGCGUCUACCUUAUGGGCGGGUGUGCUCGGGUUGUUAUUUGAGAAUUGAGUGUCAAGCAAGCUACGCUUGUUACUUAGAUGGAUACAUCAUGGAUUUCGGUCUAUUACGUUGGCCUUCGGGAUCGGAGUAUGAUUAAGGGAGUCGGGGGCUUGUAUUUAUGUCAGAGGUGAAUUCUUGGAUUUAUGAAGAGAAAAUGCGAAGAUUUGCAGGAUGUUUUCAUUAAUCAGAACGAAAGUUGGGGGCUCGAGAGAUCAGUACGUCCUGUUCAACAUAACGAUGCGACAGGGUCAGGGAUGUUGCUUUUGGACUCCGUGGCACUUAUGAGAAUCAAGUUUUUGGGUUCGGGGGGAGUUGGUGCAGGCUGAAUUAAGGAUUGCGGAGGGCACCAGGGUGGGCUGCGGCUUAUUUGAUCAAGGGGAAUUACAGGUCAGAUAGUAGGAUUGACGAUGAGAGCUUUUUGAUUCUAUGGGUGGUGGUGAUGGCGUUUUGUUGGUGGAGCGAUUUGUUGGUUAUUCGUUAGACGAGAUCGCUGUAAUGCUAUGUGGAGGUAUCCUCCAUGGCAGUUCUUGGGGAUAUGGCUUUUGGCACGGAGUUUGAGGCAUACAGGUCUGUGAUGCCUUAGAUGUUCUGGGCGCAGGCGCUACAUGAUGUAUUCACGGUAUAUGCCUUGGCGAGGCCGGGAAUCUUUGAAUUUCAUCGUGAUGGGGAUGAUCAUUGCAUUGUUGGUCUUAACGAGGAUUCUGUAAGCGCGAGUUCAGCUGCGUUGUGUCCUGCUUUGUAACACGCCGUCGUCUACGAUUGAUGGUCGGUGAGUGUUGGAUCGUGGCGAGUGGGCGGUUCGUGCCGCGAGUCGCGAGAUUCCUGACUUAUAUUUGAGGAGGGAGUGUAAAGGUUUCGUAGGUGAACUGCGGAGGAUCAUUG